AAUGCCUAGGAAUCUGCCUGGUAGUGGGGGAUAACGUUCGGAAACGGACGCUAAUACCGCAUACGUCCUACGGGAGAAAGCAGGGGACCUUCGGGCCUUGCGCUAUCAGAUGAGCCUAGGUCGGAUUAGCUAGUUGGUGAGGUAAUGGCUCACCAAGGCGACGAUCCGUAACUGGUCUGAGAGGAUGAUCAGUCACACUGGAACUGAGACACGGUCCAGACUCCUACGGGAGGCAGCAGUGGGGAAUAUUGGACAAUGGGCGAAAGCCUGAUCCAGUCAUGCCGCGUGUGUGAAGAAGGUCUUCGGAUUGUAAAGCACUUUAAGUUGGGAGGAAGGGUUGUAGAUUAAUACUCUGCAAUUUUGACGUUACCGACAGAAUAAGCACCGGCUAACUCUGUGCCAGCAGCCGCGGUAAUACAGAGGGUGCAAGCGUUAAUCGGAAUUACUGGGCGUAAAGCGCGCGUAGGUGGUUUGUUAAGUUGGAUGUGAAAUCCCCGGGCCCAACCUGGGAACUGCAUUCAAAACUGACUGACUAGAGUAUGGUAGAGGGUGGUGGAAUUUCCUGUGUAACGGUGAAAUGCGUAGAUAUAGGAAGG
This 596-nucleotide ribosomal RNA is filed under the name uncultured bacterium. Its description in RNAcentral is "bacterial SSU rRNA". It matches the Rfam family "Bacterial small subunit ribosomal RNA", at positions 112 to 704 of the family's 1533-position model. The record is from RNAcentral.